GGGCUCGUGGUCUAGUGGUUAUGACGCCUGCCUCACACGCAGGAGGUCGGGGGUUCGACUCCCCCCGAGCCCA
RNAcentral lists this transfer RNA (73 nucleotides) under Archaeoglobus sp. RNAcentral's name for it is "tRNA-Val". It matches the Rfam family "tRNA". Rfam says of the family: Transfer RNA (tRNA) molecules are approximately 80 nucleotides in length. Their secondary structure includes four short double-helical elements and three loops (D, anti-codon, and T loops). The record is from RNAcentral. RNAcentral also lists the same sequence under 1 other name. Lineage: Archaea; Methanobacteriati; Methanobacteriota; Archaeoglobi; Archaeoglobales; Archaeoglobaceae.